Molecule: ribosomal RNA, 253 nt
Filed under: uncultured bacterium
Lineage: Bacteria
Description: partial 16S ribosomal RNA
Rfam family: Bacterial small subunit ribosomal RNA
Source: RNAcentral
UACGUAGGUGACAAGCGUUGUCCGGAUUUACUGGGCGUAAAGAGCGCGCAGGCGGUCGUUCAAGUCGCGUGUGAAAGCCCCCGGCUCAACUGGGGAGGGUCACGCGAUACUGAUCGACUCGAAGGCAGGAGAGGGUAGUGGAAUUCCCGGUGUAGUGGUGAAAUGCGUAGAUAUCGGGAGGAACACCAGUGGCGAAGGCGGCAUCCUGGACCGGCACUGACGCUGAUGAGCGAAAGCCAGGGGAGCAAACGGG